Molecule: transfer RNA, 80 nt
Filed under: Modestobacter sp. VKM Ac-2983
Lineage: Bacteria; Bacillati; Actinomycetota; Actinomycetes; Geodermatophilales; Geodermatophilaceae
Description: tRNA-Arg
Source: RNAcentral
GCCAGGUCGCAGCAGAUGGGAGCUCUUCGCGCGGUUUCCUAAACCGUGUGCCGCAGGUUCGAAUCCUGCCGGGGGCACCA